GACGAACGCUGGCGGCGGGCUUAACACAUGCAAGUCGAACGACGUGGCGAACGGGUGAGUAACACGUAUUCAACCUGCCCUUCAGAGGGGGACAAACGUUGGAAACGACUGCUAAUACCGCAUACUGGAGGAGGGGAUUGCGUCUGAUUAGCUAGUUGGAGGGGUAACGGCCCACCACGGCGAAGAUCAGUAGCCUGUUGUAGGGGAGGAACGGCCACAUUGGGACCUGGACACGGCCCAGAAUCCUACGGGAGGCAGCAGUGGGGAAUCUUCCGCAAGUGACGAAAGUCUGACGGAGCCACGCCGCGUGAGGGAUGACGGCCUUCGGGUUGUAAAGCUCUUUUAGUCGGGACGCGGUAUCGAAAUAGAAAGCCACGGCUAACUACGUGCCAGCAGCCGCGGUAAUUC
This 408-nucleotide ribosomal RNA is filed under the name uncultured bacterium. Its description in RNAcentral is "partial 16S ribosomal RNA". It matches the Rfam family "Bacterial small subunit ribosomal RNA", at positions 28 to 526 of the family's 1533-position model. The record is from RNAcentral.